RNAcentral lists this ribosomal RNA (298 nucleotides) under uncultured bacterium. Its description in RNAcentral is "partial 16S ribosomal RNA". It matches the Rfam family "Bacterial small subunit ribosomal RNA", at positions 1077 to 1378 of the family's 1533-position model. The record is from RNAcentral.
UGGUUAGUCCGCACGAGCGCACCCUUGUUUUAGUUGCCACCAUUAAGUUGGGCACUCUAAUGGGACUGCCUGGGUAAACAGGAGGAAAGGGGGGAUGACCUCCAAACAUCAUGCCCCCUUUUUCCCGGGGUUCACACCUGCUACAAUGGGGGGUACAAUAAGAGGCAAGACCGUGAGGUGGAAGCUAACUUAUAUAAAGUAUCUCAUUUCGGAUUGUAGGCUGCGCCUCUCCUACCUGAAGCUGGAGUUGCUAGUAAUUCGAAAUCAAUGGCUGCGGUGAAUACGUUCCCGGGUUGGC